Molecule: ribosomal RNA, 253 nt
Filed under: uncultured bacterium
Lineage: Bacteria
Description: partial 16S ribosomal RNA
Rfam family: Bacterial small subunit ribosomal RNA
Source: RNAcentral
UACGGGGGGGGCAAGCGUUGUUCGGAAUUACUGGGCGUAAAGGGCGCGUAGGCGGCUUGGUCAGUCCCGUGUGAAAUCCCUCGGCUCAACUGAGGAACUGCACGGGAAACUGCCUGGCUUGAGUUCGGGAGAGGGAAGCGGAAUUCCGGGUGUAGCGGUGAAAUGCGUAGAUACUGGGAGGAACACCGGUGGCGAAGGCGGCUACCUGGACCGGUUCUGACGCUGAUGCGCGAAAGCGUGGGUAGCAAACAGG